Long non-coding RNA from Strigops habroptila (Kakapo), 2250 nucleotides. RefSeq lists it as uncharacterized. The transcript is spliced from 4 exons. NCBI's taxonomy places the organism in Eukaryota, Metazoa, Chordata, Aves, Psittaciformes, Psittacidae. The record is from RefSeq and is a predicted model, not a curated record.
AGAGUAUCGUAAGCACGGGAAGUCUACAUCUGGGAUCAGAAUUCAAACAAUGUUGUGAAACCACGGCAGUUGUUUCACUUGGAGGAAGAAAAGAAAACCAACAAGAAAAAGACUAAACUUGGAGAACUUCAUUUGUGACUUGAAAUGUGGGAUUCAACAGCGGAAUAUGCCGUGCCAGACAACCAGAUACCUUAACAAUGCUAACUUACAUUGCAGUUUGGAGGAACUGCAAGGAGAAACCCCACCCUUUUACAUGAGCUUUCACUUUUAAACAUUUUACUGCUGCCUUUUGGAUUCAUUACACAAACUGAAGCAACUUUUUUGGGCACCAUCUUUCAUUGAAGAAAAUCUCCACAGACAUAAUAAAAAUCACUAUAUAUUUUUCCACAAAAGGCUUCAAUCUAAGGGAAGAAAGAAAAGGUUAUUAUUUCUCUUCUUGCCAUGGAAGAAGAUAUCCUCACUGUUUCUGCACAGGUUAACAAGCAGAAAGUAAAAAAUGUAUCAACAGCUCCAAGAUGAUAAUAAUGCAAUGCAUAGCCAAAACCUUCCCUCUAUUGCUCAUAACUGCUCCUAAGAAAAUACUGUAAGAACUCUGAGCUGCAUCUGUUGGUUUACCUUUAGAGUUUAGUAGUGUGAACAUUAGGUUUUUGUUUGCUAGCAUGAACUAGCUAUGACACAGCAAGCUGGGCAGCUUAUCGGAAUGUUUUUUCCUUUUUAAGGUUGUAAUAGCAUUUUGGGAUCUCCCAGCACUUUUUACCGUAAGUUGGAAAGGAAUAUUAAAUCCAGGAUGGUCUCAGAAUAGUAUUAACAGAUCCUCUUUGGUAUGAACUACUGCUUGACAUCAAGAUGCUCACAGUGUGUUAAUAUGAUCAGUAUGUAUGAUGUGCUUCAGCCUAAUAUCACAUAUGCUUGAAUCUACUUUUAACCCUGACACCAGAGACAACCAUUUCAUAUGCAAGUAUACAUUUAACAUACAAUUAAUAUUCAUUUAAGAGGCCAGUGAGUGUAUUUUAUUUUCAUCAGUUUAUAUUUUGUGUUAUUUUAGCCACAGAAAGUUGAGGGUUCUGCAUUUACUGAUUUUAAAACAAAAAUCAUACUACUCUACCCUUGGCCUUCUUUCACCUUUCCCCUCUAAUUACCCGCACUCAAAAGCCUCUUAUGAGAAAAGCAGAAUCCUCAAGACACAUUUUACCAUCCAUAAUAGUAGCUACUCAGAUUUGGGUCACUCAGAUUCAGUACACAGAAAAAUGCACAAUUUAAAAUCUCCUAUACUGAAAAACAGUAAAGUAUACACACAUAAAAAUGAAGUCCAUGCUGGGUGAACAAAAUAACAUGGUCUACCUGCAAUGGUUUGGGGUUCUGAUCCACAGGAAUGAUGAGAAUCACAAUUUCGGACUCUAUGCUUAAGUAUCCAAACACAUCACACUGUGGCACUGAGACAUGCAGGCGGAUUUUUUCAAGUAUGUCAAGUACUGUUAUAGGCUUUUUAUUUGUUACCUGGAACGAAACAAAUUACUUCAUGCAUGAUGUGAUAGUAUGAAAGAUUAUAUUUCUCCUUUUCAGUUUUAAUAACUUGAUGUCAUGCCAGAAAAUUUGUUUUAGCCAUUAAAUGACUCAGUUCUAAUCUCUAGCAAAAAACCUAAAUAAUACAAUGAUUCUAAAAAAAACCCCCACACCUAAACCCAAACCCAAACCAAACCCCUCCAAAACCAUAAAAAAGUGAAAGGAAGAAGAGAAAAAUUUGUUUACUUCUUAAAUUAAGCAUGGCUUUGGUAUGUGUUAUUCUCCACCUUCGCAGUGUGUAUAUAUAUCACAUACCUCAAAACAAUAUAAAUGGUGUCUGUUACAGCAGCUUGUACUCCCAUAUUGGGAAACAAGAGGCAGAGCAGCCCUACCAGCUGGCACUUCUUUACCAUCACAGAACCCAUUCCAAGAGCCACCAGAAACGAAGAGGUAUAGCUUUGUAAAGUCAUAUGUAUGUCUAUAUGUAUGGGAACAUGUGACAUUUCAAGAUCACUACAUAAGUACUGAGUAAACACUUUUUUUUUUCUUGUAAUUCUCAUCUCUCUUCUGCUGUCUGUAUCUAGCAGUUUGAUGGUAGAUGCUCAGACUGUUCAAGGAAUGCCACACCUUAAAGGUUCUUCACUUUUUUUCCAGGUCACUUCUGGAUGUGUUGAACAGUAUAUACAUCAACACAAAUACUUGUGACUUCUGGUCAUUCUGUUGUGUUCUCUUUUCUAGCUUCAGCUG